This 301-nucleotide ribosomal RNA is filed under the name uncultured bacterium. RNAcentral's name for it is "partial 16S ribosomal RNA". It matches the Rfam family "Bacterial small subunit ribosomal RNA", at positions 509 to 809 of the family's 1533-position model. The record is from RNAcentral.
CAGCAGCCGCGGUAAUACGUAGGGUGCAAGCGUUAAUCGGAAUUACUGGGCGUAAAGCGUGCGCAGGCGGUCCGCUAAGACAGAUGUGAAAUCCCCGGGCUUAACCUGGGAACUGCAUUUGUGACUGGCGGGCUAGAGUAUGGCAGAGGGGGGUAGAAUUCCACGUGUAGCAGUGAAAUGCGUAGAGAUGUGGAGGAAUACCGAUGGCGAAGGCAGCCCCCUGGGCCAAUACUGACGCUCAUGCACGAAAGCGUGGGGAGCAAACAGGAUUAGAUACCCGCGUAGUCCCUGUCUCUUACAC